Molecule: long non-coding RNA, 3590 nt
Organism: Egretta garzetta (little egret)
Lineage: Eukaryota; Metazoa; Chordata; Aves; Pelecaniformes; Ardeidae
Exons: 3
Source: RefSeq, a predicted model, not a curated record
UCAAGAUUCAAGCAAGUUUCAGGCUGGGUCCUGUUCCCAGUCAAGCUGAGGGGUGUAGCUUUGCUGGAGGUUUCGAUGAGAGCUGCUGCAGUAAUUAAAAUUUUUAAGUCACAUGCUUAAAAAUAAUUGCUUUUACCUUGAAUAAUGCCAGCGUGCUAAUUUUUGCGGAAAAUGGGUAGUUGUGCAUGUGAAGAAUUGCACAACUUCAGCGGCAGCCACCGUGCUCGUGGUGAGGGGAAGCCCGGCUAAUCCAGCUCAUGACUUCUUCGCCAAGAGGGUUAGUGAUGUCCCACGGUCUGUAGAUGAGCCGUGUGGGAGGAAGAGCGAAAGGCAAAGCCAAGGACCAUCACCACGUGUGCUCAGACAAGCUCCAGGGUUGACGUCGUAACUGGAGGGACAGCACAAAGCCUCCCAAAAGGUCCUGGCCAGCAUCCUCCCAUAUUGCUGCCUCUGUCACAGCACAGUCAUCAAACCGAUGGUCAUGAUCCAACAGACAGGGACUCCAGUGACCCGUCUGCCACGUGAAGGAUGAACCCCGCUGCCUCAUUGCCCUGAUGUCGUCCGAAAAGAGGAUUCAUGGCCUGGUGUGCAAGCAAACGCUGUUACCAAACCAACCUAUGAACAGAAGAGGACAAGUCAAUGCUGUUUCUGGAAGCAAACUGAUGACACAGCCAAUAUAGAUGUUCCUGAGAAGCUUUGGCAAGAUGUACUGCCACGUCACUGUGGGAGCUAGAAAUCCUGAACCUGGAGUCCUCAGGAGCAGCCUGUGUUCAGGUGCAGAGGCUGAAUUGUUACCUGGUUUACUGACACUGAUUGCCAUGGCUUCCUGAUGACUUACCACAGCUGAGCAUCUUGUCCCAUUUCUGUGGCAGGUAUAAAGGAGAACGUUGGAAAAGGUGGAAAAAUAAAAACCAGCCAAGAUCACUUGUUUUUACUGUAAUAGAAUCAAACUCUGUUCUUAUCGUGUUAGUGAGGUUGAAGUAGUAGGUGAGUUCCUUGUAUUUUUAAUAUUUAUAUUACUAUGCCAGCUAAGCAUCUCACAGAUUUGAAGUUAUCCUCCCAGUGCUCUCAUGUUACUCCCAUUUUGCAGAGGAGGAAUUUUGAUGAGGAUGAGGAAGUCUGAGACAGAGUAAACACAGGCCUCAUGAUUUCUACCCUCAGAAUCUUUUGUACCCUUGCUAUACUCUAAAAAUAUCCUUUUGCAGAAAUUAUAAUGGCUUUUUUGGUAUUUUAGGAUUCUUGACCCACUCCAGGUAUAUACGCUUGAUAGAAGAGACAGGCAGUUCAAUGUUUUCACUGAGUGACCUUCUGGCUUUAUGCAGUAAACCUACCGCAUGAGCUUGUUUUGCACUUGUGUUCAAGCUGGAUCACCUUGAAAAAUACGAAUUAUCUCUGAGUCUAUAUUUUGCCUUUGAAAAGAAACUAGUAUUAGAAGCAGUUUAAAAAUGAUAGAAAAACUUUACUCAAAGGAAAAUGUUUGGCUACUUGAGAUUCCUCGUUUUAAAAAUUCAACAUUUGGGAAAAAUCCUAAAGUAGAAAGAAGUAUUUCCUUUCUGAAAUAAUGCUUUGAUGCACUGUGCUCCGGUUCAUCUCUGUCAGUCAGGCUCCCAGUAGGACAGCAAGAGAAAAGAGGAUUGUGUUGCAGAGUCCUAUUCCAUGGUGUACUGUGGGAGCUUCAGCCCAAUAAAGGAAAAAUGAGUCAGGACAAAACUGGGCUACAGUUUCCCUGCAGAACCGCAAUGUGAUAUCCACGAUGAAACUUUGAUUUGAAAACACUGAAUUAAUCCAUGGACUUUUAGACCACCUUCACAGUUCAGAUGGAAAUCCAUUUAUUAAAUCCCAGCAUCACACAGCAAUACACAGCUCCUUCAGUCACGUUACGGCAAAGCUCUUGUCGCUUACUGCUUAUUAUCUAAUUACAUCCGUACAAGGUAGUUACACCUGCAAGCAUGCCAUUAGAUGACUUGUAAAGGUGUUGCACUACGGAGCUGCAGAUCUAUCCUGGCUGAGCCCAGAGAGUGUUCAGAAACGGCUGACAACAAUUCCUAUGUCAUCUACCUUGAUUUUUUGAAGUACUGGUGCCUCCAUACAGCAGUUAUCAUCCUUUUAAAUAAUUUUCCAAUAGAAGGGAUCCUCAGCACCAUAGCCAUUUCUCUUGUGUGUAGAAGAGAGCACAGGGAGAUAGGUGGACCACCAGACUUCAGCUGAAACACCACGAGUGUUCAGUGAGCCCAACCAAAGAGACUAAGGUUUCAUGGUAACAAGCAUCAAGGACUAUACUUGACCACCUAUUCCUGCAGUGCAGAGAGCAGACAAAGAAUAAUGGCUAACCUCUGCGGUAGGGUGGAAAUGCAUGUAAAUGAUGAAUAUGCCAUACAGAAUAAAAAUAAAGGGAGGGGUAAAAGAAAGAAGACAGGCAGACUAGCACAAUCGGCAGUAAAGAUUAGGCAGUCUUUCCUACUAGGGCAGGCACUUCACAUCGUAACUUAGUCUGACCAGCAACUCUGUUUCAAGAAGGAUUUGGACAUCUGUUCAUUGGAACUUCCAGAAACACCACAGGUUAAAGGACAGAGCACCAUGGUACCAGACCCUUCUCUCAUUACCUGUACCAGUAAUACAAAAUGUCUUGAUCUAUAGAAGGUAACCAGAUAUAACCACACCAUCUUAUUUAAACCCAAACAAAGUAAAAGCUGAAUUUACUGGCUACUUGGCACUCAAACUUUUUCUUGCAACCUUUUAUCAUGGAAAGCUCAGACUCAUCUCCAUCAUGCGUCUCAUAUUUUCUAAUCCUGUGACUUCUGCUUUGCACAACUAAAGCUAAAACGGUCUGAACUGCGUAUACUAAUUAAUCAUAUAUGACAAUUCAUUACUUCCAUUCCUAUCCUAUUCUCUCCCCACUGGUUUCCUGUGUUGUCUUACAUACGUAAAAUGAAAAUGAAGAAUGAAAACACUGUUUCCUGUACUGUCUUACACUACGUCGCCGUGGUGGCCCUAACGCUCGGCAGCUGGUGGGGCUGCCAGCAGGCAGGUGUGGUGUGUGUUCUCUUCUGAUGCGUGACGAUGCUGGGUUUGGUGCGAGCGUUUGUGCUGUCGGUGACUUGGCCCAAGAGGGAAGUAAGACUCAGAAUGAUUUUAGCAAGGGUAGAUCUCCGCUGGGGACAGACCCUGCUGUCCCCAAGGCAAGAGUUGCUACCUGCUACGCAUGUUAGGAUAAAGGGCACGUCUGCAGACAGCUGAAGAGCCUCAGAAGCCCAGGGACAGAGGAGAACUCCUCACAUUCCACAUGGCUGAAGACAGGAGCUGCCUCAAUACGCAAGGUUUUGUGAAGGACUCGUGGCGAUUUCUCAUGAAGAGGGAGAUGGGGAACAAAAUGUUGGUGAGGCUUUGCAGGGGACGGACUGCUAACGACCAAAGGCUCAGACAGGCGAAGCAUAACCAAGAGCGGAUCAGAGCACAGGAAGGCGUGAGGCUGGUUUGUGAAGAAAGACGACGGCUGCUCUGUACCUCACGAAGGCCCAGGCCUCCCCUCUCUGUGACUUGGCGGGAGGCAGGCAGAGAGCGGGAACACACACCUGAACUGGCCGAUUUCC